This 200-nucleotide ribosomal RNA is filed under the name uncultured bacterium. Its description in RNAcentral is "partial 16S ribosomal RNA". It matches the Rfam family "Bacterial small subunit ribosomal RNA", at positions 8 to 214 of the family's 1533-position model. The record is from RNAcentral.
AGAGUUUGAUCCUGGCUCAGAUUGAACGCUGGCGGCAUGCCUUACACAUGCAAGUCGAACGGCAGCACGGGCUUCGGCCUGGUGGCGAGUGGCGAACGGGUGAGUAAUACAUCGGAACGUGUCCUGGAGUGGGGGAUAGCCCGGCGAAAGCCGGAUUAAUACCGCAUACGCUCUGUGGAGGAAAGCGGGGGAUCUUUCGG